GAUGAACGCUAGCUACAGGCUUAACACAUGCAAGUCGGGGGGUAACGAGAGGGAAGCUUGCUUUCCUUGUCGACGACCGGCGCACGGGUGAGUAACGCGUAUCCAACCUGCCCCCAACUAGGGAAUAACCUUGCGAAAGUAAGACUAAUACCCUAUAAUUUCCUCAGAUGUCAUCUGACGAGGAAUAAAGAUUUAUCGGUUGUGGAUGGGGAUGCGUCUGAUUAGCUUGUUGGCGGGGUAACGGCCCACCAAGGCAACGAUCAGUAGGGGUUCUGAGAGGAAGGUCCCCCACAUUGGAACUGAGACACGGUCCAAACUCCUACGGGAGGCAGCAGUGAGGAAUAUUGGUCAAUGGGCGAGAGCCUGAACCAGCCAAGUAGCGUGAAGGAUGAAGGUCCUAUGGAUUGUAAACCUCUUUUAUAGUAGAAUAAAGUGAUCCACGUGUGGAUUUUUGUAUGUAUACUAUGAAUAAGGAUCGGCUAACUCCGUGCCAGCAGCCGCAGUAA
RNAcentral lists this ribosomal RNA (506 nucleotides) under uncultured bacterium. Its description in RNAcentral is "partial 16S ribosomal RNA". It matches the Rfam family "Bacterial small subunit ribosomal RNA", at positions 28 to 523 of the family's 1533-position model. The record is from RNAcentral.